Molecule: ribosomal RNA, 199 nt
Filed under: uncultured bacterium
Lineage: Bacteria
Description: partial 16S ribosomal RNA
Rfam family: Bacterial small subunit ribosomal RNA
Source: RNAcentral
CGGAUUGGAGUCUGCAACCCGACUCCAUGAAGCUGGAUUCGCUAGUAAUCGCGCAUCAGCCACGGCGCGGUGAAUACGUUCCCGGGCCUUGUACACACCGCCCGUCAAGCCAUGGAAGCCGGGAGUGCCUGAAGUGCGUGACCGCAAGGAGCGUCCUAAGGCAAUACCGGUGACUGGGGCUAAGUCGUAACAAGGUACC